GACAGAGGUGCCGAGCGUUAGGCGGAAUCACUGGGCUUAAAGCGUGUGUAGGCGGAUCUGUAAGUACCUUGUGAAAUCCCACGGCUCAACCGUGGAACUGCUUGGUAUACUGCGGGUCUUGAGCCACCUAGGGGCAAGUGGAACAAACGGUGGAGCGGUGAAAUGCGUAGAUAUCGUCUGGAACGCCGAAGGUGAAAACAGCUCGCUGGGGGCGUGCCGACGCUGAGACACGAAAGCCAGGGGAGCGAACGGG
RNAcentral lists this ribosomal RNA (253 nucleotides) under uncultured bacterium. RNAcentral describes it as "partial 16S ribosomal RNA". It matches the Rfam family "Bacterial small subunit ribosomal RNA", at positions 524 to 776 of the family's 1533-position model. The record is from RNAcentral.